This 1075-nucleotide unclassified non-coding RNA is filed under the name Drosophila virilis. RNAcentral describes it as "GJ26116". The record is from RNAcentral. Lineage: Eukaryota; Metazoa; Arthropoda; Insecta; Diptera; Drosophilidae.
GUUUGGCUUUGGUUGUCGUUAGUUUUGUUCGCCUUCCGUUAAAUAGUGUCAAUAGUUUUGUAACCCUUGCCUCUCCGAUUAGUCCAAGUACAUGGACAUGCAUGAAUGCGAGUGUAUCGGCAUGCAUGCAUCAAAUAAGGAAAGGGGAAGUGAUUUGUGCGCGGCAAUUUUGGGUCGCUGUCAUCGCAGCCGAGAGGGCUUUGAACUCGUGACGUUGCGCGUACUCGAUCAACGGCUCGUCUCGGCAAGCAUCAGCAGCGCACCCCAAAUCCCACCCCGUUUGCGUUGUAUGAGCGCAUGUGAAAAGUGUAACAAAAACAAAGUGCGGCCCAUUAUCGUGUGAUCCCCCCCUGAUAACCGACGCCACUGGCCGACUGCGACAAUCAGUUAUUGGCCCGCCGUGUGGAGCUUCUCCAAUGAGCAUUGAACUGCGAACUGCACAAACGUGCGCAUUUGGCAGACAAACAUGAGAAAUGGUGCUGCCAAAUUAACUGGCCAUGUUGAGUUCUCUGCGUUCGCCGAUUACCGUUAUUGUUGCUGCUGAGUGUCUGCCCAUUAUUAAUUAUGAUUCGGGGAGGAAAAUGCAAAUAAGAAAUAAUGAUGACUAAUCCAAAUAAAUUCAAACGAAACCGAGCUUCAUUCAGAUACGUUGAGAAAGGUUUAAAAAACCUGGUUAAGGGAAAACAUCAAAGAGCAAAAAAAAAACAAGAUGUUACCCUGAUUAUUGCAUAGUUGAGUCGAGCAGCACGUGUAAAAUUAUAUUUUGGAGUGAUUUAAGCAUCAAACAAUGCUUAAAUUAUAUCAAGAGACUUUUUGUUGGAAACUGGCUCGAAACUGUUUUAUAAUAAAGGAUCUGGAAUGAGACAUAAGGAUCGGGUAUGAUUUUUACAGAACUGGCGAAACUCUCUUCAUCAUCGGAAGUCUGAAAGACCAUUUCCCAGAAAAACUUCCCACUCACACACUCUUAGCAAAGCCAAUAAGAAGUUAUUUAUAAUAAAUUAUUUGAGUAUAAAUCUAUGUCAAUAGAAUUUCUGAGAUUAUAGCUACUUCCACUAGCGACAAGUUGUAAAUAAAG